UGGGGAAUAUUGCACAAUGGGCGCAAGCCUGAUGCAGCCAUGCCGCGUGUAUGAAGAAGGCCUUCGGGUUGUAAAGUACUUUCAGUCGGGAGGAAGGUGUCAAGGUUAAUAACCUUGGCAAUUGACGUUACCGACAGAAGAAGCACCGGCUAACUCCGUGCCAGCAGCCGCGGUAAUACGGAGGGUGCAAGCGUUAAUCGGAAUUACUGGGCGUAAAGCGCACGCAGGCGGUUGAUUGAGUCAGAUGUGAAAUCCCCGGGCUUAACCCGGGAAUUGCAUCUGAUACUGGUCAGCUAGAGUCUUGUAGAGGGGGGUAGAAUUCCAUGUGUAGCGGUGAAAUGCGGAGAGAUGUGGAGGAAUACCGGUGGCGAAGGCGGCCCCCUGGACAAAGACUGACGCUCAGGUGCGAAAGCGUGGGGAGCAAACAGG
Molecule: ribosomal RNA, 429 nt
Filed under: Chloroflexota bacterium
Lineage: Bacteria; Bacillati; Chloroflexota
Description: Chloroflexi bacterium partial 16S ribosomal RNA
Rfam family: Bacterial small subunit ribosomal RNA
Source: RNAcentral